GGAUCGAUGAUGACUCCCUCCAAAAAAAAAACCCAAACCAACAUUCCUUGGAAAAGCUGAACAAAAUGAGUGAGAACUACACCCGUCGUCGUUCUCAUCGGUAACUGAGGUCC
This is a small nucleolar RNA of Myotis lucifugus (little brown bat), 113 nucleotides long. Its record names the gene SNORD116. It matches the Rfam family "Small nucleolar RNA SNORD116". Rfam says of the family: HBII-85 is a member of the C/D class of snoRNAs, which contain the C (UGAUGA) and D (CUGA) box motifs. HBII-85 is encoded in a tandemly repeated array with another C/D snoRNA, HBII-52, in the Prader-Willi syndrome (PWS) region of chromosome 15. NCBI's taxonomy places the organism in Eukaryota, Metazoa, Chordata, Mammalia, Chiroptera, Vespertilionidae. The record is from Ensembl.